UACGUAGGAUCCGAGCGUUGUCCGGAUUUAUUGGGUUUAAAGGGUGCGUAGGCGGUUUUAUAAGUCAGUGGUGAAAGUUGGCCGCUCAACGGUCAAAUUGCCAUAGAUACUGUAGAACUUGAGUUAAGUUGAGGUGGGCGGAAUGUGUCAUGUAGCGGUGAAAUGCAUAGAGAUGACACAGAACACCGAUUGCGUAGGCAGCUCACUAAGCUUAUACUGACGCUGAGGCACGAAAGUGUGGGGAUCAAACAGGAUUAGAUACCCUGGUAGUCCACACUGUAAACGUUGAUAACUUGCUGUUGGCGAUAUAUGGUCAGUGGCUAAGGGAAACCGAUAAGUUAUCCACCUGGGGAGUACGUCCGCAAGGAUGAA
RNAcentral lists this ribosomal RNA (372 nucleotides) under uncultured bacterium. RNAcentral's name for it is "bacterial SSU rRNA". It matches the Rfam family "Bacterial small subunit ribosomal RNA", at positions 524 to 898 of the family's 1533-position model. The record is from RNAcentral.